CCUACGGGAGGCAGCAGUAGGGAAUCUUCCACAAUGGGCGAAAGCCUGAUGGAGCAACGCCGCGUGAGUGAUGAAGGCCUUCGGGUUGUAAAACUCUGUCAUUCGGGACGAACCGGAGUCUGAGGAAAUGCAGACUCUCUGACGGUACCGGAGGAGGAAGCCCCGGCUAACUACGUGCCAGCAGCCGCGGUAAUACGUAGGGGGCAAGCGUUGUCCGGAUUCACUGGGCGUAAAGCGCGCGCAGGCGGUGAUGUAAGUCUGAGGUGAAAACCCGAAGCUCAACUUCGGGACUGCCUUGGAUACUGCGUCACUUGAGGAUAGGAGAGGCAAGGGGAAUUCCACGUGUAGCGGUGAAAUGCGUAGAGAUGUGGAGGAACACCUGUGGCGAAGGCGCCUUGCUGGCCUAUUUCUGACGCUGAGGCGCGAAAGCGUGGGGAGCAAACAGGAUUAGAUACCCUGGUAGUCCACGCUGUAAACGAUGAGUGCUAGGUGUAGGUGGGCUCAUACCCAUCUGUGCCGAAGCUAACGCAUUAAGCACUCCGCCUGGGGAGGUACGGUCGCGAGACGAGAACGUACGAAGUAGAAGUUAGACGGCGNGAGACGNGACGACGGACGACGACGAGGGAGGAGG
Molecule: ribosomal RNA, 631 nt
Filed under: uncultured bacterium
Lineage: Bacteria
Description: bacterial SSU rRNA
Rfam family: Bacterial small subunit ribosomal RNA (bases 1-544)
Source: RNAcentral